This 253-nucleotide ribosomal RNA is filed under the name uncultured bacterium. RNAcentral describes it as "partial 16S ribosomal RNA". It matches the Rfam family "Bacterial small subunit ribosomal RNA", at positions 524 to 776 of the family's 1533-position model. The record is from RNAcentral.
UACAGAGGUCCCGAGCGUUGUUCGGAUUCAUUGGGCGUAAAGGGUGCGUAGGCGGUCUGCUAAGUUUGGUGUGAAAUCCCGGGGCUCAACCCUGGAAUGGCAUUGAAUACUGGCGGACUAGAGUACCGGAGAGGAAACUGGAAUUUACGGUGUAGCAGUGAAAUGCGUAGAGAUCGUAAGGAAGACCAGUGGCGAAGGCGGCUACCUGGCCCAAUACCGACGUUCAGGCACGAAAGCGUGGGGAGCAAACAGG